Molecule: ribosomal RNA, 397 nt
Filed under: uncultured beta proteobacterium
Lineage: Bacteria; Pseudomonadati; Pseudomonadota; Betaproteobacteria
Description: bacterial SSU rRNA
Rfam family: Bacterial small subunit ribosomal RNA
Source: RNAcentral
UGCAUCGGAACGUACCCCGUCGUGGGGGAUAACUACGCGAAAGCGUAGCUAAUACCGCAUACGACCUGAGGGUGAAAGCAGGGGAUCUUCGGACCUUGUGCGAUGGGAGCGGCCGAUGUCAGAUUAGCUAGUUGGUGGGGUAAGAGCCUACCAAGGCGACGAUCUGUAGCGGGUCUGAGAGGAUGAUCCGCCACACUGGGACUGAGACACGGCCCAGACUCCUACGGGAGGCAGCAGUGGGGAAUUUUGGACAAUGGGGGCAACCCUGAUCCAGCCAUGCCGCGUGCGGGAAGAAGGCCUUCGGGUUGUAAACCGCCUUCAGCCGGAAAGAAAUCGCGCAGGCCAAUACCCUGUGUGGAUGACGGUACCGGAAGAAGAAGCACCGGCUAACUACGUG